GAUGAACGCUGGCGGCGUGCCUAAUACAUGCAAGUCGAGCGAACCACUUCGGUGGUGAGCGGCGAACGGGUGAGUAACACGUAGGUGAUCUGCCCAUCAGACGGGGACAACGAUUGGAAACGAUCGCUAAUACCGGAUAGGACGAAAGUUUAAAGGUGCUUCUGGCACCGCCGAUGGAUGAGCCUGCGGCGCAUUAGCUAGUUGGUAGGGUAAAGGCCUACCAAGGCGACGAUGCGUAGCCGACCUGAGAGGGUGAACGGCCACACUGGGACUGAGACACGGCCCAGACUCCUACGGGAGGCAGCAGUAGGGAAUCUUCGGCAAUGGGCGAAAGCCUGACCGAGCAACGCCGCGUGAAUGAUGAAGGCCUUCGGGUUGUAGAAUUCUGUUAUAAGGGAAGAACGACUUUAGUAGGAAAUGGCUAGAGUGUGACGGUACCUUAUGAGAAAGCCACGGCUAACUACGUGCCAGCCGCCGCGGUAA
RNAcentral lists this ribosomal RNA (483 nucleotides) under uncultured bacterium. RNAcentral describes it as "partial 16S ribosomal RNA". It matches the Rfam family "Bacterial small subunit ribosomal RNA", at positions 28 to 523 of the family's 1533-position model. The record is from RNAcentral.